RNAcentral lists this ribosomal RNA (301 nucleotides) under uncultured bacterium. Its description in RNAcentral is "partial 16S ribosomal RNA". It matches the Rfam family "Bacterial small subunit ribosomal RNA", at positions 509 to 807 of the family's 1533-position model. The record is from RNAcentral.
CAGCCACCGCGGUAAUACGGAGGGUGCAAGCGUUAAUCGGAAUUACUGGGCGUAAAGCGCACGCAGGCGGUCUGACAAGUCAGAUGUGAAAUCCCCGGGCUUAACCUGGGAACUGCAUUUGAAACUGUCAGGCUGGAGUCUUGUAGAGGGGGGUAGAAUUCCAGGUGUAGCGGUGAAAUGCGUAGAGAUCUGGAGGAAUACCGGUGGCGAAGGCGGCCCCCUGGACAAAGACUGACGCUCAGGUGCGAAAGCGUGGGGAGCAAACAGGAUUAGAUACCCCUGUAGUCCCUGUCUCUUAUAC